Non-coding RNA from Panthera uncia (snow leopard), 86 nucleotides. NCBI's taxonomy places the organism in Eukaryota, Metazoa, Chordata, Mammalia, Carnivora, Felidae. The record is from the annotation of a RefSeq genome assembly.
GCCUGGGUGGCUCAGUCGGUUGAGCAUCUGACUUCGGCUCAGGUCGUGAUCUCACGGUUCGUGGGUUCGAGCCCCACAUUCAGGCU